UGAGUGCCUAUACAGCUGUGUUACGCGCGGGGAUCGCAAAAGAAGAAAGCAGAUCCCACGGUGCUGCGUUAUCUCCGUCGGCUCUAUACUACGAUGUUUUGGUACGUUAGCGAUAUUCGAGUAGGCCGAUGUUACACCGACGAUAAAGCGGUUGGGUCGUCGCACGGCGGACAGACGACGUCGCGAAUAAAUAAAACGAGAGGACAGAGGAGAAAGAGGGAAAAAGAAUCGGCGAGAAGGGAAGAAAGGCAUAGAUAAAAAAUAAGAAACGAAAAAAGUAUACGUGUAUACGUGUGUAUAAAACGAAAAGAGAAAAAGUGAAACGGGGGAAAACGAAAGAGGCACGAGGCUAUUCAGUUUUACUCGACGACGCAGGAUUUCGGAUUCCUAUUUAUUGCAAUCGAAUCUUAUUUCACUUGCUCGACGUGCUCCCGCUGCCGCUGCUGGCUACGCCACGGAACCCAUCGGUGGCGGAAGAAAUGUCGGAGAGGAGCAAGGGAAAGGACCCUGCAAUCAAUUUUCGACAGGCUCCAAUACGUACGACCGGCGGUCCCGGCGCGGCAUCGAGACGAGGUGAGGCGAGGCGAGGAGGUCCGCCGCUAUAAAACUACGAGGUCGGGGAACACGAGCCCAGUAACAAAUCUCAGACUCGGAACAGAAACUCGAAGAACAAAAAGUACAACAAUUAUUAUGCGUCCUCAACUCACCCUCGUCACUCUCGCCCUUCUGGUUGUCGUUGCCGGUGUUUGGGCCCUUCCGAAUCCCGUUAGCGAGACUCCGCAGUCCAGAGACGACGCGGUUUCCGCGACGACCUCGCCGUCCACCGCGGCACCCGAAAGCAAAGCGGAAAGUGGUCGCAGACAGUCCGAUUGCAAGUGCACUUACAGCCCCGCGGAGCGCGAAGAAAAUCCUUCGCCGGCGUCGAUUGGAACCGUUCCAAGCAAAUAGUUAAUUCUCUCAGUCGCAUGCACGGGGCGGUGACGUGAGCCGAUUGAAAAAGGAGGCUGUGCCGGUCUGACGAGAAAUGCAAAUUUUGAAUCUACGGAGCUCCGACACCGAUGCGCCAAAGCAGUGUAAUAUCAGACAAUAAAUAAUGGGUGUACCAUGAA
Molecule: RNA transcript, 1109 nt
Organism: Athalia rosae (coleseed sawfly)
Lineage: Eukaryota; Metazoa; Arthropoda; Insecta; Hymenoptera; Athaliidae
Exons: 4
Source: RefSeq, a predicted model, not a curated record